Molecule: ribosomal RNA, 467 nt
Filed under: uncultured bacterium
Lineage: Bacteria
Description: partial 16S ribosomal RNA
Rfam family: Bacterial small subunit ribosomal RNA
Source: RNAcentral
GACGAACGCUGGCGGCGUGCUUAACACAUGCAAGUCGAACGGAAAGGCCUCUUUCGGGGGGUACUCGAGUGGCGAACGGGUGAGUAACACGUGAGUAACCUGCCCUUGACUUUGGGAUAACUUCAGGAAACUGGGGCUAAUACCGGAUAGGAGCUCCUGCUGCAUGGUGGGGGUCGGAAAGUUUCGGCGGUUGGGGAUGGACUCGCGGCUUAUCAGCUUGUUGGUGGGGUAGUGGCUUACCAAGGCUUUGACGGGUAGCCGGCCUGAGAGGGUGACCGGCCACAUUGGGACUGAGAUACGGCCCAGACUCCUACGGGAGGCAGCAGUGGGGAAUAUUGCACAAUGGGUGGAAGCCUGAUGCAGCAACGCCGUGGGCGGGAGGACGGCCUUCGGGUUGUAAACCGCUUUCGCUCAUGACGAAGCUUUGUGUGACGGUAGUGGGUAAAGAAGCACCGGCUAACUACGUG